Molecule: long non-coding RNA, 2293 nt
Filed under: Ficedula albicollis (Collared flycatcher)
Lineage: Eukaryota; Metazoa; Chordata; Aves; Passeriformes; Muscicapidae
Description: lncRNA (ENSFALG00000023487.1)
Source: RNAcentral
CCCCCCCCCCCCCCCCCCCCCCCCCCCCCCCCCCCCCCCCCCCCCCCCCCCCCCCCCCCCCCCCCCCCCCCCCCCCCCCCCCGUGUGCCUGUGACAGCGCGGCGCGGCCGCUCCUCGGGGCGGAGGUUGGGGCCGGACGCCGUUAGUCGUCGGGCGGUCCCGGCAAAGCGGGCGGGCCCUGCCGGGACUUGCUUUUAAUAAGCAUCGUGAUUUUUUGUUGUUAAUGCUCCGUUUUGCCACUGUGCCGUGAGGAAGGCGGGCUGGCAGCGCUCAGCUGGGGCUGUGCCCGGAGCCUGAGGCGCGCCCCGAGCCGUCACACGGCCGUGGGGAACACGGGCUGCUGCCCCGGCCCGUCACUUGGGGGCACUGCUAGGGAACGUAACCGAGAGCCCCGCCGUUCUGUAAGGAGAAGAGGCUUCGGAUCUCGGAGAGGGACGUUAUCACUCUCUACAGUUCACUGAAAGGGUGUCGCCAGAAGAAACGUAGAGCAGAGACGACAAGGGGCCUGCACCACCGAACCCGUAAGGACCAGAGCACUUGCCAUAAUCGUGUCUGCACCUCGCGGGGACUGGGAUAUACACACGUGUCCAGGCGCAGCCCCUGGCUUCCACACCAACCACAAUGUUUGUGGUUCUCACUGGCCAUUUCAGUUUGCCAACAAGAGUGUAUACAAGAGGAGACUUGCCACUACUCAUUCCUUGGAGAAAAGGGCAGAUCAACAGCCUGUGAGCACUGAGGGAUAAAAUCCAAGCCCUGUGCAAGUAAUUAGAGAUUUCAUUAUUGGCCUCAGCUAUGUCAAGAUGACAUGAAACCUGCUCAAAGUCAAACAGAUCUGAGACAAAGGAAGAAGAUGUAAAACACAUGCCAAAUCAGUCUGGUUAAUUCAUAAACUGAGUUCUUUUGGAAAAUCUUUUUGUAAAAUAUUCUUACCAUUCCUACUAAACUUACUUAUUCUGGAAAAAUACCCCUAAUAAUACAUAACUAAAUAAUUGUACUACAGUGUCUGAGAUCUAGGUAUCUUAAUUAGCCAUUUUUAAUUUUCCUCUUUCUUUCACUAAAUUAUCUGCAUUUCCUAUUGUUUCAUGAAACUUUUUUUAACACUUCAUGAAAUUAAUAUUAAAAUAAUUUAAUAUUUUUUCCUUCUGCCUUGUGAAUUGGAAAGCUAAAUUCAAUGAACUGUAUUAACUCAGGCAACAUAGUAUCAGCAUAUUUCUUAGCAAAUUAAAGCAGGACUUUCAAAAACAGUCAAGGGAGAAAAUGUUUGGGUGUUUUUUUGCUGAGACUUCAACUUCUAAAUCAUGUGACUUUUCUGACUUGAGAAAAAAGAAACCAGGCACUUUGUAUUCUUAUACUGCAGUAGGUUUCCUGAUAGUGUGACUUCCUCAUUGUGAAAUGCAAAACAAAGAGACUUCAGACAACACAAAGGCUGCUGUCUUUCACAGAGACAGUAUUCCCCAUUUCUGAUCCCAGUCUAACCUCUUCUAGGGAAUGAAAAAAUAUGUAUUCAUUAAAGGUAUGCUGUUAGGCUGAGUUUGCUCUUUGGUAGUUUAUUCAGAUUCAUUCUCCCUACUAAACGCCCUGUCCUGAGGGAUUUCCAGACUCACAACUCAUGAAAUAAAUUUUUACUUUUCUACUACUAGCCUCUGGCAGUUGCUUAGUGAUAUGGAAAUGCUCCUGUUCUUUGGGCAUCUCUAUUCUUGCUCCAGUAGAGGGUAAACUGAGCCAGUUAGGGUGUUUGCAUAAAUCCUAAAUUACCCUCCCAGGCCUUCAGGCACUUUCCACUGUGUGCUAAUACCAGCCACCCGAACACACACUUUAUACACAUUUCUUUAUACAAUCCUCUUGCAGUAUCAUGUUCCCUGCUGUCUAAGUGAAGGUCAACCUUGUAGCUUGUUGGAUGCGUUAAAAAAUGGGGUGUGUGUUGUGAGAGUCAGCAGCAUAUUUGGUGUCUUCCCAAAUCCCAGACCACUCUUAAAACAAGUCAGAUUAAGCUAAAUGUAAGAUAAAGAGCUCCUUUAUAGUAUCUAAGAAUGUACAUAAUAGACAUAAUAGUGGCACAGCUAAUAGAAGAGGGUGAAAAGCAAACUGCACAUGUGGCAAAGACUUGCACUUCUCUGGGUGCCCCAGCUGGUAGGUCCAUGGUCAUCUAGGUCAUGAUGCAGCUCAUUCCUCAGCAUACACCAGUAUCUCUAAGUAAUAUCCAGAGGAAGGCAGGGCUGAGGAUAAUUCCUCCAUUUUAUCAUACUCCAAAGUUGAGUUGUUGAGUCUACCCAGAUGGAAUUUUCCUCAUCAC